CGCGUAGGCGGCUUGCACCGUCAGAUGUGAAAUUCCUGGGCUUAACCUGGGGGCUGCAUUUGAUACGUGUGGGCUUGAGUGCGGAAGAGGGUCGUGGAAUUCCCAGUGUAGAGGUGAAAUUCGUAGAUAUUGGGAAGAACACCGGUGGUGAAGGCGGCGACCUGGUCCGUGACUGACGCUGAGGCGCGAAAGCGUGGGGAGCAAACA
This 207-nucleotide ribosomal RNA is filed under the name uncultured bacterium. Its description in RNAcentral is "partial 16S ribosomal RNA". It matches the Rfam family "Bacterial small subunit ribosomal RNA", at positions 568 to 774 of the family's 1533-position model. The record is from RNAcentral.